GCCCGUCACACCAUGGGAGUCGGUAACACCCGAAGUCGGUAGUCUAACCGAAAGGAGGACGCCGCCGAAGGUGGGAUUGAUNACUGGGGUGAAGUCGUAACAAGGUAAC
Molecule: ribosomal RNA, 109 nt
Filed under: uncultured bacterium
Lineage: Bacteria
Description: partial 16S ribosomal RNA
Rfam family: Bacterial small subunit ribosomal RNA
Source: RNAcentral